RNAcentral lists this unclassified non-coding RNA (346 nucleotides) under soil metagenome. RNAcentral describes it as "partial contains 5.8S ribosomal RNA, internal transcribed spacer 2, and large subunit ribosomal RNA". The stretch from base 1 to 120 matches the Rfam family "5.8S ribosomal RNA", at positions 35 to 154 of the family's 154-position model. The record is from RNAcentral.
GAUGAAGAACGUAGCGAAAUGCGAUAAGUAAUGUGAAUUGCAGAACUCAGUGAAUCAUCGAGUCUUUGAACGCACAUUGCGCCCCCUGGUAUUCCGGGGGGCAUGCCUGUCCGAGCGUCAUUGCUGCCCUCAAGCACGGCUUGUGUGUUGGGCCCCGUCCUCCGAUCCCGGGGGACGGGCCCGAAAGGCAGCGGCGGCACCGCGUCCGGUCCUCGAGCGUAUGGGGCUUUGUCACCCGCUCUGUAGGCCCGGCCGGCGCUUGCCGAUCAACCCAAAUUUUUAUCCAGGUUGACCUCGGAUCAGGUAGGGAUACCCGCUGAACUUAAGCAUAUCAAUAAGCGGAGGA